CUUUUUGCUAUAAUUUUGAUAUUAUUUCGCUAUAGUUUCUGUGGAUACCUAUUUGAAAUAUCACAAUAUGAGGAAUAUGUGGAAAAAUUACACAGCCAGUCGAUCUUUUUAAACAUUUCAUUUUUAAUCCCAAGGCUCUUCAACAUUUAUGUCGGCUUUCAGGGAAUAAUCUUUGCUUUGAGAUCUGCUCAUGCCACAUCGAGAUCUAUUUCGAUCUUCCUUUGACGAGUUUCAACCUCUGAAGCAACACAUAAGUCAGGACAAGUUCUGCGUAAUUUACAUGUUUUGAUGGUUUUGCAGAUGAACUU
Poecilia latipinna (sailfin molly) is the source of this 308-nucleotide long non-coding RNA. RefSeq lists it as uncharacterized. The record is from RefSeq and is a predicted model, not a curated record. The transcript has 3 exons. NCBI's taxonomy places the organism in Eukaryota, Metazoa, Chordata, Actinopteri, Cyprinodontiformes, Poeciliidae.